RNAcentral lists this ribosomal RNA (208 nucleotides) under uncultured bacterium. RNAcentral's name for it is "partial 16S ribosomal RNA". It matches the Rfam family "Bacterial small subunit ribosomal RNA", at positions 568 to 774 of the family's 1533-position model. The record is from RNAcentral.
UGCGCAGGCGGUCAGAUAAGUCGGGUGUGAAAUCCCAAGGCUUAACCUUGGAACUGCGCUCGAAACUAUCUGGCUAGAGGGUUGGAGAGGAGACUGGAAUUCACGGUGUAGCGGUGAAAUGCGUAGAUAUCGUGAGGAACACCAAUGGCGAAGGCAGGUCUCUGGACAACUCCUGACGCUCAUGCACGAAAGGCCAGGGGAGCAAACG